UACGGAAGGGGCAAGCGUUGUUCGGAAUCAUUGGGCGUAAAGGGCGCGUAGGCGGUCGCGUGUGUCUGCUGUGAAAGCGCACGGCUCAACCGUGUGAAGUCGGUAGAAACUGUGGGACUUGAGGCUGGGAGAGGUUGGUGGAAUUCCCUGUGUAGCGGUGAAAUGCGUAGAUAUAGGGGAGAACACUCGUGGCGAAGGCGGCCAGCUGGACCAGCCCUGACGCUGAGGCGCGACAGCGUGGGGAGCAAACAGG
RNAcentral lists this ribosomal RNA (253 nucleotides) under uncultured bacterium. RNAcentral describes it as "partial 16S ribosomal RNA". It matches the Rfam family "Bacterial small subunit ribosomal RNA", at positions 524 to 776 of the family's 1533-position model. The record is from RNAcentral.